AUUCUUAAUAUUAACCAUUAACUGUUUAAGCUCUUCUACACUUGUGGGGGCAAAAAAGAAAGAUUCGGCUACUACCACAUUGCUGAGAUAGCUCCUGGGAUCUAUUUUUUGUGAGAGAUUGGCUGCAAGGUUACUAGCAAUAUCACAGUAGAAGGAAUUGAGGACAUUGGAAUCUAAGAAAAUGCAGCAUUUCCGGAAAUGUUCCAAAUGGAGAGCUAUGCUGAAUGUGACAAAUCCAGGAAUACUUAUUGUUUAUUUGAUUUUAAGAUAGAGCCUAAAGAUGUUAAAUCAAAUUUAUGGAAAAACUUAGAGAACUUCAAAACCGACCCUUUAAAACUAGAUCGAACAAUUCUUAAUAGAAUGAUAUGUGUUCCACGACUUAAGCCUUCGGACACUUAUGGUUUAGAUACAUUAAAAGAGGAACUAAAGGAUCCAAAUAUUUCUAUCAAAGUAUUGUCUAUAGAGUGCGAAAAAGAGUACGAUUUUUUCUACUUCAAGGCUUUCUUUUAUUGUUCAGUUCUGUUAUAUGUAGCAUUGGUAUUCCAGUGUACUUGGUAUCAUCACAAAAGAAAUAAUGGUAUUAUUAUGCAAAAUAGUUGGUGUGGCAGAUGGUAUACAACAUUCUCCAUAAUUCAAAAUGUCCAGAAGCUAAAAGAAGACAACAAAAACUCAGAUUUUCAAAGGCUAAAAUGUAUUCAAGGUAUUAGAGUAUUUAAUACAAUGGUAGUAGUAUUUUGGCAUACUGUACUCAGCCUCCACCAACUUUAUGUUAUAGAUGUUGAUGAGUUGGAAAAAAACUAUGAAAACUCGCUGUUCUUUUAUUUGAUGUUUUUGGGAGCUUUUUGCGUGCAGACAUUUUUCUUUAUUUCAGCUUUCUUGCUCACCAAUCAAAUUUACGAGUUAGAAAGAAAGCAUGGAUUUUUCAGCCUUAAACACUGUUACAUCUUGAUGGUUAACAGAUUUUUCAGGUUUUUACCAACAUUACUAAUCACCGUGGCUGCUACUAAAUUAGGACUUUAUGAUAAUUCACCACACACAGUUAGAGCCAGAAAUAUGUGCCUGCCAGUAUGUCAGCAAUAUUGGUGGUACACUGUAUUUCAAAUAAAUUUUUUGUUGACUUUCGAUAAAAUAUGCACUCCAGGUCUCUGGUACCUAUCUGUGGACACGGCAUACUACACUUUAACCCUUAUAAUAUUAUAUAUUAUUCUAAAGUUUAAAUUAUCACACUUUAAAGUAAUUGGAUUGGCUAUUGUGGGUGUCUCUUUGUAUUUUGGAAUCUACAUAUACAUCAACGAUUUCGAGUUCCUGUUUCAGCCUUUUCCUGAGGCGGUUAAAACCUUGAUGCAACACCCAACGAUCAGGAACGUCUAUGUUCCACCAAUGGCAAGCUGGACCAGCAGUUUGUUUGGCGUUAUUUUGGGUUACGUUUAUUUCAAUAAUAAGCAAAUUAAUCAUUUUGAAUGGCAUAAGGUUUUGGAAAUAUUAUGGUGGUUGAUUUUCACAUGUGUGCCACCCUUUGCUGUAUAUCUAUCUACAUUCUCAUAUAAUGGGCUCUGUAAUGCAUUUUUGUCAGCCACCAUUAAGGCCCUCUUUGUUUUUCCAUUGGGGAUUGGUAUACUAGGCAUGGUUUUUGGCUUGGGAGUAAGACGUGACAACGCUUUAAAAUUUCGCCCGCAUUCUUUUCGUAGACACAGAUCCGAUGGUCAAACAUUAUACAAAGUUGCCACUGGAGUGGAACCACCCCAAGAUAUCUUUUUACCUCUAUUAUCAUCCAAUGCUACUUCAGAAUUUGAAACAAUUUCACAAACAUCUAAUCCAAAUAUAGAUACUACUAAUGAGAAUGAACAAAAUAGCUCCAUCAAAGCAAAAGAUAAUGACUACUGUAUUGCAUUAUCUGCAGAAUCGUAUUCUAACGAAGAAAUUGUUGACUUACAACAGAAAUGGAGUACUUUUAAUGAUGAAAUAUUAAACACAUUAAAAGAAAAUCCUAUGACAUUUGUUCCAGCAGUGCAAUCAUUUCUAUCCAAUAAGGACAAAUAUGCAAAAAGUGAGAACUCGCUUGUAUCCGGUCUAUUUACAGUAUAUCUACAUAUCAAAACUAUACCACUUUGAAAACCCAUAAGCAUGUUAGGAAAAUGAAAGGCAAGAAAAUACCAGUGCAACCAACAGCUGUCGGUAGGAGAAAGUCAAAGAUAAGCGGCAAGAGAAGACUUACAUUUGGAACUUCAAGCAAGCAUUAGAAAAAAGCUCCCCACAACUUAAGUAAAUGCGUGGAACAAAAUAUAGGAUUAGGAGCUGACAAGCGCAAAAAAUAAAUUUUAUAUACCCUAUACAUUGUAUAAUUUAGUAAUUCCAUUUCUGGCUUAUUAUAAUUUACAUUAUAUGUAAAUAUAUAUACCUAAUAAUGUA
Molecule: unclassified non-coding RNA, 2409 nt
Filed under: Anthonomus grandis grandis
Lineage: Eukaryota; Metazoa; Arthropoda; Insecta; Coleoptera; Curculionidae
Description: nose resistant to fluoxetine protein 6-like
Source: RNAcentral